ACACUCAAAUGGCUGCAGUUUAAAAAAAUGAUCUUGAAAUGAAAGACAAGAGAAAGAAGUAAGAACAGCAGGGGCUUGCGAUACCUCUGCGAAUAUCCCAAAUGCGGAUAUCUCGGGCGCGUAUUUUUGGUAGUCGGGACUGCGCACACGCUCUCCCGU
Molecule: small nuclear RNA, 159 nt
Organism: Cimex lectularius (bed bug)
Lineage: Eukaryota; Metazoa; Arthropoda; Insecta; Hemiptera; Cimicidae
Product: U1 spliceosomal RNA
Exons: 1
Source: RefSeq, a predicted model, not a curated record